GUCCAUAAAUGCUGUGGACACUUAUGAAAAUUGGAACGAUACAGAGAAGAUUAGCAUGGCUCCCUGUGUAAGGAUGACAUCACUAUCUUGGAAGGAUUACCCGCAAUU
Molecule: small nuclear RNA, 108 nt
Organism: Rhizoclosmatium globosum
Lineage: Eukaryota; Fungi; Chytridiomycota; Chytridiomycetes; Chytridiales; Chytriomycetaceae
Source: Rfam